RNAcentral lists this ribosomal RNA (253 nucleotides) under uncultured bacterium. RNAcentral describes it as "partial 16S ribosomal RNA". It matches the Rfam family "Bacterial small subunit ribosomal RNA", at positions 524 to 776 of the family's 1533-position model. The record is from RNAcentral.
UACGAAGGGUGCUAGCGUUGUUCGGAAUCAUUGGGCGUAAAGCGUGCGUAGGCGGCUUGGCAAGUCAAGUGUGAAAUCCCGGGGCUUAACCUCGGAAUUGCGCUUGAAACUGCUUUGCUAGAGUAUGAAGAGGGAUAGUGGAAUUCCUAGUGUAGGGGUGAAAUCCGUAGAUAUUAGGAGGAACACCGGUGGCGAAAGCGACUAUCUAUAUCAUUACUGACGCUGUUGCACGAAAGCGUGGGGAGCAAACAGG